This 305-nucleotide ribosomal RNA is filed under the name uncultured bacterium. RNAcentral's name for it is "bacterial SSU rRNA". It matches the Rfam family "Bacterial small subunit ribosomal RNA", at positions 332 to 652 of the family's 1533-position model. The record is from RNAcentral.
CGGAGCCUACGGGAGGCAGCAGUGGGGAAUAUUGGGCAAUGGGCGCAAGCCUGACCCAGCAACGCCGCGUGAAGGAAGAAGGCUUUCGGGUUGUAAACUUCUUUUCUCAGGGACGAGGCAAGCGACGGUACCUGAGGAAUAAGCCACGGCUAACUACGUGCCAGCAGCCGCGGUAAUACGUAGGUGGCAAGCGUUGUCCGGAUUUACUGGGUGUAAAGGGCGUGCAGCCGGAGAGACAAGUCAGAUGUGAAAUCCACGGGCUCAACCCGUGAACUGCAUUUGACACUGUUUCCCUUGAGUGUCGG